Long non-coding RNA from Ctenopharyngodon idella (grass carp), 4390 nucleotides. RefSeq lists it as uncharacterized. The record is from RefSeq and is a predicted model, not a curated record. NCBI's taxonomy places the organism in Eukaryota, Metazoa, Chordata, Actinopteri, Cypriniformes, Xenocyprididae. The transcript has 2 exons.
UAAAAAGAUCCUCAUUUGUGUUAUGAAGAUGAACAAAAGUCUUACGGGUGUGGAACAAUGUGAGAGUGAGUAAUUAAUGACAGAAUUUAAAUUUUUUGGUGAGGUAACCCUUUAAUAAGGUAGGGAUCCCAUAUCAUUUGUGCAUUGUUUUCUACAAAAAUCAAACUAGAUGAUAAAAUAGGUGAAAAAUCCCAUAGGCGGAAGAAUCUGACUAAGCAACAACCUUGAAAAUAUCCAUAACCCCAUAGCAACUGCAUAGCAAUGAGCUAAAAAACACUCAAACCACCUUUGUAACCGCAAAGCAACACCCUAGCAACCACUGACAACAUCCUGCCACUGUGAAGUGAGUUCUGCACAGUCAAACACCACUCAUGCAUUCUUAAAAUGUAUGUUAUAUAAUUUCUAUAAAUAAUAUUUAUGAAAAUUUACAUUUAUGCGCUUGGCAGACGUGACUUACAUUGCAUUCAAGUUAUACAUUUUAUCGGUUCAUGCAUUCCCUGAGAAUCGAACCCAUAACCCUGGCAUUGUUAGCACAACUGUUUGAGCUACAGGAAUACUAUAAAAAAAAAAAAAAAAAAUCACAUUUUAAACUAUUUGAAUGCUACGGAGCCCCUAAAGGGACAUGGUGAUGGAAAAAAUAUGGGAUGGAAGGAAAAAUUACAUACGAGGGAAUGCAAAGUUUCUCUGGGGAACGCAAAACAAAUGUGAGAGAACGCAAAAGCAGUGCCAUCAUUUUUCCCUCACAUUUCAUAUUUUUUUCCUUUGCCAUGUCAAUUUAGCGGCUCUAUAAAAUGCACAUUAACUAAUGAUCUGAUAAGCAAUAUGCAAUGUAAUAAUGUUUGUUAAUGUUCUUAAUGUAUAAAGUUUUAACCUUUGUUCUCAUUUUUUUCUGACUGUGGGAGUGUUUGAUCAUUAGCAUUUGUAGAGCAGGAAGAUGGGCUGAUUGAGCUGUGCAGCAUUAAAUGAAAGCACGCCGUCAACAAUAACCUGAACCCGCGGCACAGUCAACAUGCCUCUCAGAAGAAUCUGAUUAAAAUGCAAAGCAUUUAAUUACUUAUGACGGGACGUGUUUACCAUCACAUUAUGGCAUAAAAGAAGCCCCCCCACACACACAUAACAGCUGAUUUCAUAAUUCCACAAGUCGUUAACCAACGCAGAAUUGUUAAUUUUUCAACGCACCCCGCUUUGAGGCACAUUUUCAUGUAAUUUUCAACGUAGGCGAAUGAUUUGCUGCUUUGAUAAUUACCAAAUAAUUCACAUUCCGGAUAAUUAGACCAAACAACCCUGUGAGCAAGAGAAUUCAUUAACAAUCUUCACCUCUGAUGCUCCGUUUGAAAGGCAUAUCACACAUUCCAUCUCUCUCAUGGCACUCAUUUGUAAGACGCUUCGGAUAUCAUCUGAUUAGCUUUCUGAACAUUUCCUAGAAUCUGUGGAGGGAGAAAUCUUUGUUUUUCUUUAAUCAGUUCAUUAAGGUUAUUUACAUUUCAUUUCAUGUGGCCCGUUCUGUUGAAUGUGAGUUAAGUAAUGAAUUAAACCAAACUUUGCUGUAGAUUUCCCAUCAAUCUGUAUUCUGAAAUGUGUACACAGUGCCCAAUCUUGCAGAUGUUGGCAAUUAUUAUCAGUAAAUACUUGCCAUGAAGAUUCAAACUGUGACCUAGCGGUGGACAGAAAAAGUUUCUGCUGUGAGAACCUUGAAUGUAUCCCAGAAUCUCUUGUGCUGCAAAAAAGGAUGAAAGGAAACACGUCAUCUAAAUCAACAUCAUUGCAGAUAGUUGCACCAUCAACCAUUGCACACAAUGUACUUUAAAAACAGGCAAAAGUGAGAAAUAUUCUAGUCUGGCCAAGAACAGCCCACUUAAACAGUAAGAGAGCAUUUGCCCAACCUCUCAGAAGUCGCAAAGGUCAACCAAUCAGAUUAGAACUUGGCAGGAAAUGCUAUUAAAUUAUUUUGGAUAUUCCUAAUUAAUGUGCAUUCAAAUGAGUUUACCAAUGAGAUUAUAUAUAAGUAUUCAUCAGUGAAUUAUGAAAUACUUUAUAACAUGCUUUAAAGUUAAAGCACAUGCUGUAAAUACUCAAGUGCAGUAAGAUUUAUUUCCUAAAGUCUAGGUUACGUAUGUAACCCUGGUUCCCUGAGAAGGGGAACAAGAUGCUGCGUCAUGGAGUUGACACUAUGGGGAACGCCAUCAGUGUGACCGGUGUCUGAAGCACAUGUACCAAACAUGCCAAUUCAUUGGCUGACCGCAGUCUUUGACGUCACAAGCGGAGCGCCUGUGAGUAUAAACUUCAUCAACUCUUUUGUCUGAAGGAGAUGUGCAGGCAAGCCCUAGGCAUGGCAACGAGAUGCAGCGUCACAUUCCCCUUCUCAGGUUUACAGUCGUAACCUACACAUUCCCUUUUUGAAGUGUAAAGGCACUUCCCACGCCAUGUAUAACUGGUCCUACUCAACCCGCUCCGAGCGGGAUUCGAACUGGUGUCUCCAGCAUGGGAGACUGGUGCGCUAAGACCGCAGCCUCUAGUGCCAGUUGCUAGCGAGACCUCUUGAAGCCAGGGGAGUGAGGUUUACACGCACAGCUCUUACUGGCCUACGUUACACUCACGCCCCCAAACCUCACUCCCAUCCAGGUCACGGCACGAAAAUGUAACCAGUCCUACUCAAGUCCCACUCUGAGCGGGACUCGAACUGGCAUUUUCGGCAUGGGAGGCGGGCACGCUAACAACCAAGUUAGCUGAAACUGCAGUCUCUAGCAUCAGUCGCUAAGCAUUCCUCUUGAGGUCAAAGGGAGUGAGGUUUACAUGCACAGCUCUUACUGGCCUAUGUUACGCUCACCCCCCAAAACUUUAUUCCCAUUCCAGGUCACAGCACCAAAUGUAACUGUUCCUACUCUACCCACUCCGAGCGGGACUCGAGUUGGCGUCUCCAGCAUGGGAGGCGGGCACACUAACAAGGACCCUAAAGGCCGCAGUCUCUAGCGCCAGUCGCUAACAUGCCUCUUGAAGCCAGGGGAGUGAGGUUUACAUGCACAGCUAUUACUGGCCUAUGUUACACUCCCCCAGUUAUACAUACUGAGGGAAUGCCUGUCUCACUAAACUGUGAAUGUGCACAAACAUAGUGACCAUAGCAUAAAUUGAAUCUACGGAUUACUUAGUCCAAGUGUGUCAACCCCAAGUGUGCAUCCAAAAUGACUCAAAGACUGCUCAGUGGCUUUAUUCCUUAAGCCAGUAUCUCCCAAUUGCAAGAGAAGAUACCCAAGCUUCUAUGCUGUAUAGCAAGGGACAUCACGGCCUAUACAACCUUCCUCCCUCCCUUGCUGGACAGACAUUAGCCUUAUAAGGCCCCAAGAGCAGAGAUCUAAGGUAAAAUGGCCCAACUUUGUCAGCAUCUUGGCAAAGCCCUUAGGGAGUAGCCUACCAAAGGGAGUAUAUCAUCUACGACCUUCAAUAUACCAAUAUUUCCAAGGGGAGAAUGAAACCCUCACCUUUAAAGAAAGGAUGCAGAGACGAGAAUGGCAUAAUAUAACAGCCAAAGACUCUCGCCAUCAACUCAAACCCCUAGGGAAACCGCAAGGGAGCUUUAGUUCUACUUAAAUACUUUAGAGCAGGGGUGUCCAAACUCGGUCCUGGAUAGCCACUGUCCUGCAGAGUUUAGCUCCAACUUGCAUUAACACACCUACCUGGAAGUUUCUAGUAUGCCUAGUAACACGAUUAGCUGGUCCAGGUGUGUUAGGGUUGGAGCUGAUCUCUACAGGGCAGUGGCCCUCCAGGAGCAGGAUUGGACACCCCUGUCCUAAGAGCAAUGAGGGGCGUUCACACCCUGCUUAAGCAAAGGUACUUCUCCAGGAUCCAUUAUAAAAAGACACCAUUCACUCGUACAGUAUACGUUUAUAAUGAGUUUUUAUAAUGGUCAUAAUGAACCUAAAAUGAAGACAAACACAAAAAUUACAUUACAUAUACAAAAUGUUUCUGUUUCAGGCCUCAUCAGUAGCUUUCACAGAAGCCUUUUGUUUUUGCUUUCCUAUUUUUAUUUGAUGUUGCUCAUUCAGUUCAUGCCAUCCAUGAUGAUUAAUGAUCUCAAAGUCAAUCUACUGUAACUGUGCUCCAAACUCCUUUCCCACACAUUUCACCUCCUCAUGGAGUUUCCUUUCAUAAAACAUUAUGAAUGAAAAUCACAUAUUGUGCAAAAAAUGAGGAUAAAUGGCUGUGUACAUAUUGUACAGUGAUAUUUCUAUAGUUUUUUUACUCUUGUAAACAAAUGGUAUUUAUAACAGCAGAUGUCAUGAAUGUCAGCUCUGGACUGCUGCAGGCCUUGUUACCAAAUAUGUGUUUCUGUUGUGCCGCUUUUGGUCAGGUUCUACUUUUGCCCGCAGAAAUAAAGACUUAUUUAUCAAAACCA